GUGUCAGCAGCCGCGGUAAUACAGAGGUCCCAAGCGUUGUUCGGAUUCACUGGGCGUAAAGGGUGCGCAGGUGGGUUUGCAAGUUCGAUGUGAAAGCCCCGGGCUUAACCCGGGAAUGGCAUUGGAUACUGCAGAUCUGGAGGAUCGGAGGGGGGACUGGAAUUCUUGGUGUAGCAGUGAAAUGCGUAGAUAUCAAGAGGAACACCAGUGGCGAAGGCGAGUCCCUGGACGAUACCUGACACUGAGGCACGAAAGCUAGGGGAGCAAACAGGAUUAGAUACCCUGGUAGUCC
Molecule: ribosomal RNA, 292 nt
Filed under: uncultured bacterium
Lineage: Bacteria
Description: partial 16S ribosomal RNA
Rfam family: Bacterial small subunit ribosomal RNA
Source: RNAcentral